This 253-nucleotide ribosomal RNA is filed under the name uncultured bacterium. RNAcentral describes it as "partial 16S ribosomal RNA". It matches the Rfam family "Bacterial small subunit ribosomal RNA", at positions 524 to 776 of the family's 1533-position model. The record is from RNAcentral.
UACGGGGGGGGCAAGCGUUGUUCGGAAUUACUGGGCGUAAAGGGCUUGUAGGUGGCCAACUAAGUCAGACGUGAAAUCCCUCAGCUUAACUGGGGAACUGCGUCUGAGACUGGUCGGCUUGAGUGCAGGAGAGGAACGCGGAAUUCCAGGUGUAGCGGUGAAAUUCGUAGAUAUCGGGAGGAACACCGGUGGCGAAGGCGGCGACCUGGGUCGAGACUGACGCUGAGGCGCGAAAGCGUGGGGAGCAAACAGG